GCCGCCCUAAAGAGCAUAAUGGAGAAGGACUCCAGAGGACGUGGAGGAGAGUGCUGCUCCCCAGGGAGAAGGGCAUCGAUCAAGAGCCACUUCCUGCUCUCUGGACCGCGAGGGUGCAGCAAGGAGACAGAAUAAGCAAAAGCACGCCGCAGCUUCACCCCCGCAGCCCCGAGCGCGGAAGCUGGCAGUGCCGCAGGGCUUGGCACCAGCGUCACGUCAGGCAGGUGAGGAAUCCCCGUGCUCCACGUCACUGGGUGACAGGAACUUCUUUGGUCCAUUACAACCCUAUGGGACCAUUGCCGCAUGUGGAGUCUGUCUGUGAGACUAACCGAGCAGAUUUAAAUGGUGACGCCAGCGCCAUGUGGCUUCAGUGACAAGGCUCAAGUCACUCACUGACUGCGGCAGAGUUCACUGCGCAUGGACUGGGCUGAGAGGACGUGAACCGCUCUGGGCCCGCUCCCCGCCUGUGAGCUUUGGAGACUGGAGUGACCCACAGGUCCUUCCUGGCGGUGAUGUGCUGGAGUGGAGUUGUGUCUCCGCCUUGCCCUCGAGUCUCGCAUUAGGCCUCCUUCACUUCGGACGGAGACCGGGGCCCUGAGACAUCUGAUUUCGUGACCCUGCUGUCCGUGACCAGCAC
RNAcentral lists this long non-coding RNA (637 nucleotides) under Heterocephalus glaber (naked mole-rat). RNAcentral's name for it is "lncRNA (ENSHGLG00000045676.1)". The record is from RNAcentral. Lineage: Eukaryota; Metazoa; Chordata; Mammalia; Rodentia; Bathyergidae.